AUCUGGGCGGCGGAAUUCAGGAUGGCUGGCGGGUUUCGCGCUCGUCCGGCCGUUUGAUAUUUCCGUCGCCGUGUCAGACGUCGCGACCUGUUUGUCGUCGGUCCUUGCUCGGAGGAAUUGCGAUCGAGUUCGUUGCGGACGCGUUUCGGCGUGUUCCGCGGCGAAGACGCGGCUCUCUGGCUGACGACGGACAGUAGGCAACGGUGUCCGACGCUGUGUCUCGCACUCGGUGUCGGUGCCGGUCAGCGACGAUUUCUUCGGGCCUCUUUCCGACCCGUCUUGAAACACGGACCAAGGAGUCUAACAUGUGCGCGAGUCGCGGGGUUUCGAGCGUGCCAYGGUGCGCUCGUUACUUCCGAAACCCGUACGUUGAAGGCGUAAUGAAAGUGAACAGGGAAGAUGGCGUUCCGAGUCCACGUACCGUGAUCGAGUAUCGCGGCCGGACGCCCGCACUCCCGGGGCGUCUCAAUGGUUCGUCGCGGAUGCGGACGGUCGUCUUUCGGGYUGGCCGUCGGUCUGCGCCGGUUCGA
This 530-nucleotide ribosomal RNA is filed under the name Paracupidaspis wilkeyi. RNAcentral describes it as "partial 28S ribosomal RNA". Lineage: Eukaryota; Metazoa; Arthropoda; Insecta; Hemiptera; Diaspididae. The record is from RNAcentral.